Helianthus annuus (common sunflower) is the source of this 662-nucleotide long non-coding RNA. RefSeq lists it as uncharacterized. Lineage: Eukaryota; Viridiplantae; Streptophyta; Magnoliopsida; Asterales; Asteraceae. The record is from RefSeq and is a predicted model, not a curated record. The transcript has 2 exons.
AAUAACCUGUGUUUUGUAUGCCCUGUGGAGAGACGCACCCACUUUCCCCCUAAAAAGCAUAGAAAACCUUAGGCGAUUCAACCUGCCGCAAGUCGAAACCGACAAAAAAUCAGCUGUAAAGCAAGAUUUUACUGUUGUCUGAAAGAGAGCAUGCUUGCUUCAGUCUCUAUAAAUACUUCAUCAAGCUCAACACUCUACAAACCCUCAACUACACUCAACUGACGUACUGCUUUUACAUCUACAGCUGUAAAGCAAGAUUUUACUGUCGUCUGAAAGAGAGCAUGCUUGCUUUAGUCUCUACAAAUACUUCAUCAAGCUCAACACUCUACAAACACUCAACUGAGACGAAUUAAACUUUCAAAUUGUAAGUUUAUCUCAGUUGAACUAAAUCCUACUUUUAAAUCUUGCAUCAAUUAAACCUUCAAAACAUCAACCUAACAACUUCUAUUUUACUUCGAUUUCAGAAUAUAUUGACUCUUUGCAUCUGGAUCUUGUGUUGUUUCUCGGCUCUCACAUCAAGGUUUCAUAUUUUUUGUCGGCUUUUUACACCUGCCUCUUGCAUUGUUAUAAGUUCUUCCAAAUUUCUUGGUUUUUUUGUAACUUUUAACUAUGGCUUUUAACUUUAGAAGGUUGUAAAUGUUGAAAUAACUGUGGUUUUUGGA